ACGCGCCGAUUGGAUCGGCAAAGGAGCUUGAUACACUCAAAUUACACCUUUCUAAAGAAGUAUAAGUGAACGUUAUGAAGUAAAGAACCCAACUUGUAGGUUGGGGUCGAUCCCACGAGGAAUAUGGUUUAGACUUAACUUUAACUUACGAUUAUAUUCGUUUAGUCAACAUAUUUCCGAGACAAGUAAGUAAGGGGGG
This 199-nucleotide long non-coding RNA is filed under the name Solanum tuberosum (potato). Its description in RNAcentral is "long non-coding RNA (STUB_LNC009118)". The record is from RNAcentral. Lineage: Eukaryota; Viridiplantae; Streptophyta; Magnoliopsida; Solanales; Solanaceae.